GCGACGCCGCGUGAGUGAAGAAGGUCUUCGGAUCGUAAAACUCUGUCCUUGGUGAAGAAAAAAAUGACGGUAGCCAAGGAGGAAGCCCCGGCUAACUACGUGCCAGCAGCCGCGGUAAUACGUAGGGGGCGAGCGUUGUCCGGAUUUACUGGGCGUAAAGGGUGAGUAGGCGGUUAUAUAAGUCAGAUGUAAAAGGCGUAGGCUCAACUUACGUAAGCAUUUGAAACUGUAUGACUUGAGUGCAGGAGAGGUAAGUGGAAUUCCUAGUGUAGCGGUGAAAUGCGUAGAUAUUAGGAGGAACACCAGUGGCGAAGGCGACUUACUGGACUGUAACUGACGCUGAGUCACGAAAGCGUGGGUAGCAAACAGGAUUAGAUACCCUGGUAGUCCACGCUGUAAACGAUGAGUGCUAGGUGUUGGGUAGCGAUAUUCAGUGCCGAAGUUAACACAAUAAGCACUCCGCCUGGGGAGUACGGUCGCAAGACUGAAACUCA
Molecule: ribosomal RNA, 494 nt
Filed under: uncultured bacterium
Lineage: Bacteria
Description: bacterial SSU rRNA
Rfam family: Bacterial small subunit ribosomal RNA
Source: RNAcentral